GAGGGGAGCAGGCGCUGGCCCAACGCGCCCCUCAGCCGCGGCGGCCACGGGCUGAGUGCGGCUGGGGACCCCGCGGCCGCUACAAAUGGCCGUCGGGGGGCGGGGCCGCACCGCCCCUCCUCUGCAUGCGAAUGAAGCGGAAUAUUCAUGAGGGGGCGGGGCCUCGGCAUGCGACACCGACUGGGCUGUUCGGGAGAGGGGGGUGCGGACGCUACUGACACUGAAUGAGGGAAAACGCUGCCGCUGCCGCUGCCGCCGCCGCCGCCACCGCCCCCUUCCCCAGUAUGCCAAUGAGAUGGAAUCUUCGUGAGGGGACGGGGCCACCCCGGCAAGAUGGAAUAGUCAUGCUAAUGAAAUGGAAUAUUCAGGAGGGGUGGGGCCCCGCAAUGCUUAUGAGUACAGGUUGGCAGAAAACCAAGGAGAUCUGUGUAAGCCAGAAGAUGGAAGAAGCUGUUUGGGAGCAAGCAUAUCAAGAGUUAAAGGCUAUUGCAGAAAGGGUACUGGCAGUCUUUACAGGUGGAGGGCCACGAUACUUAGUGGUGGAAGAUGAGAAGUGAACUGGAGCUUCAGACCAGUAUGGAGUUGGUCCACUGCUGCUGUUGCCACUGUGGUCUGGAGAGAACAUCUGAAGGAUCCAGAAUUCAGCCUCAUUGAAGGGUUUCAGACUCAUUUGCUUUUUUUGCCAGCAUUCACGUGGCUGACUGGAACUAAUCCCACUUCAGUGUCCUGUUGAAUGAGCAGAGACGAGGCAGACAGAUGAAAAAAGCACAUCUAGGACCAUAAGACUGUUGUCUCACCUGAAAGAGCUGGGAAGAUUUUGUGUAAUAAGCUAAAAUAUUCUGAGCCCUUCCUGAAGUAAUUCACCUAAUGACGUUCCUAAUGCACCUAAUAAUUCACCUACAGAUGUUCCUUUGUAGAACUUGGGGAGUUUUACAGUGUCAGUUUCCACUCUGCUCCCUUUCAACAUCUGCAUUCAGGCACCAACUCACCUAAAACUGAUUCAAGUGCCAAUAAUAGAAGACACACCGAUCUACCUAUUCUGUUUGGACAAGAUCAGGUUGAGGAUAAAGAAUGGAUGACUAAGGCUGAAGCUGAGCAAGACAGAAGUGAUGUUGGUGGGCAAAGACGAGCAUUUUAAAGAGUCCAAAACUAUAACCCAGUCUCCCUUUGUUGAAGACACAUGCCCACAACUAGUUAAUUCAUUUUGUAUAUGAAUAGUCUUAGAUUUUUUGCAGAUGCCCUUACAUAGCAGUAUCCAUGAGUAAUGUUGUCUAUUACAAGUUUGCUAGGAGAUUCUAUCCCAUCCUCACCAACAGCCUCGGAAGUACAAAUUUCUGUCACACUUUAGUAAAACCAAGACAGUACUAUAUACCUGGGCAUGACUUCUGCAGUCUCUUCUUCCUUAGCUGCACCAAACUCCUUCCUUUCAUGUCUUGAUUUGCCUGACAAACCCUCCAGGUGUAACCAGGUGAGACUAAUAGAGGUGAUCACCCUUUAGAAGCCUCCAUGACCUUUCCCAGCUGGAUUCAGUAUAGCUGAACAGCACCAUCUGGUCCC
Long non-coding RNA from Crocodylus porosus (Australian saltwater crocodile), 1557 nucleotides. The record is from Ensembl. Lineage: Eukaryota; Metazoa; Chordata; Crocodylia; Crocodylidae.